GUGGUGUAAAUGGUUAACGCACUUGGCUGCUAACUGAAAGGUUGGUGGUUCAAAUCCACCC
Loxodonta africana (African savanna elephant) is the source of this 61-nucleotide transfer RNA. It matches the Rfam family "tRNA", at positions 7 to 64 of the family's 71-position model. Rfam says of the family: Transfer RNA (tRNA) molecules are approximately 80 nucleotides in length. Their secondary structure includes four short double-helical elements and three loops (D, anti-codon, and T loops). Further hydrogen bonds mediate the characteristic L-shaped molecular structure. tRNAs have two regions of fundamental functional importance: the anti-codon, which is responsible for specific mRNA codon recognition, and the 3' end, to which the tRNAs corresponding amino acid is attached (by aminoacyl-tRNA synthetases). tRNAs cope with the degeneracy of the genetic code in two manners: having more than one tRNA (with a specific anti-codon) for a particular amino acid; and 'wobble' base-pairing, i.e. permitting non-standard base-pairing at the 3rd anti-codon position. NCBI's taxonomy places the organism in Eukaryota, Metazoa, Chordata, Mammalia, Proboscidea, Elephantidae. The record is from Rfam.